Molecule: long non-coding RNA, 1191 nt
Filed under: Cricetulus griseus (Chinese hamster)
Lineage: Eukaryota; Metazoa; Chordata; Mammalia; Rodentia; Cricetidae
Description: lncRNA (ENSCGRG00000026341.1)
Source: RNAcentral
GGAGUUUAUGUCAAACCAGGAAAAAGCUGUUAUUAAAACGGUUGUUUGCAGCUUCAGUUUGGCCCCAACAGACUUUUGCAUUCAGCGGCUGUAUCAAAAGGGUCAGGCCUUCAUGAUUGUUCUACACAUCAAACAGCAUCAGAUCACAGUCAGGAGGAACCAUCAAACCCAGAUAGCUGCAAAUCCAAGAGUAAAAACAAUUCUUGUUUUAUGUCGGCAUCCAAGAGAAACAGACCUGUCAGUGUGCCAGUGGGUCAGCCGAGAGCAUCAGAGUCCUCUCUAAAUCUGAAGUCACCCCACAAUUGCCAAGUGGGAUAUAAAUUUCAACGAAGAGUCAUUAGAGUGACGGCUUACAAAAAUGGAUCUGGAACAACCUUCGCCAAAAUUACUGCACCAACCAUCGCCUUGUUGCUGGAAGCGUGCACACACAAGCUGAAUCUGAACAUGGCCGCACGACGAGUGUUCUUGGCAGACGGCUCAGAAGCCUUCAAACCUGAAGAUAUACCCCAUGAAGCCAAUGUUUAUAUUUCAACAGGAGAGCCCUUUUUAGAUCCAUUCAAAAAACUUAAAGACCAUCUGCUGUUAACGAAGAAAGUGACUUGGACAAUGCAUGGGUUGAUGCUUCCCACUGAUGUCAAAAGACAGAAAACUAAGCCGGCACUUUCCCGAAGGAUGAAGACACUUGCUCAGAAGACUGCAGUACGAAUUCUAGUCUUUAAGAAUGGCAUGGGGCAGGAUGGGCAUGAGAUUACAGUGGGAAAGGAAACAAUGAGGAAGGUUUUAGAUGUCUGCACAAUGAAAAUGAAUCUAGAUUCACCUGCCAGAUAUAUUUAUGAUAUGAGUGGUAGAAAAGUUGAAGAUAUUUCAAAAGUUCCUGUGCUUGAAAAAUGCCUGCAAGAUUCCAUCACACCUUUGCGGGGACCACUUUGGGUCUCUAAGGGAGAAGGUUUCAGUCCCUCGGGUGCUAAGAUGUACAUCCAAGGAGUUCUUGGGGCCUUAUAUCCACGACUAAAGUCUGCAAAAAAUUAUUACAAGCAGUUGGACUUAGUCCUGAAUGAACAGAAAGCCAAGAUCACAGCAAAGGCCAUUCUUUCCAUGACACCAGAGGAAUACCAGAAGUCACGAGAAGAUAAAGAUCUUCCAGAUUUCUCUCAUUGGGGUCCAUUGUCAUGUGGUGAGCAUGCUGAUUGA